CCCCAAUGGGUUCUCCGGAUUUCUGGAGACUUGUAGGGGUUGUGGGAUUUUUGAUGUGUCGUCUCCGGACGGGCGGUGCAGGGUAGUCGAGUUAGACUUGGUGGAAUUCCGUCGAUAGGAGUUCCGUCGAGUCUGGUCGGCUGUGUGUUGGACGGUGCAGGGUAGGCUGCUUGGACAUGGUCGGUUCGAGGAUCGAUUCGAGGGCCGGCGCCUGUCGAUGAUGUGUGAUGUAUGCGGUCUAGGGUAGGCUGGUUUGUCUUGGUUCAAUUUGAUGUCGGCUCCCGUGCAGGGCAGAGUGAGGGGGGUCCAGGGUAGGUACAGGGUAGGCAGCUUAGAUUUGGUCGAUCAGGAGGUCGAUUCUCUGGCUGGCGGAUCUGACACUGUCGAAACGAGAUGCGAGCGGUGUAGGGUAGGCUAGUUUCGUCCUCGCCAGGUUGCGAUUUGGACGAGACAUGUGGUUUAGGGUAGGCUCUAGGGUAAGUAGAAUUCGAGUUUCGUCGCCGACAGUUUUCUGUGGGUGUAUGGUAGGUACAGGGUAGGCAAAUCUCUCUCCGGCUAGUACUUGUCUGGUGGUCGUGAGUCGAUUUUUUUGUUUUGCCAUACUAUUGAAUUUUGCGGAAAUUCAAAAGUGGCUCGGGAGUCCCGCCUGGCGUGCGUCCGACUCGAACAUCGUCGGUGUACAUAUGAGAGGGAGUAAUCCGGCCCGGCCGGGGCCCAUCGCGAGCUGCCGGGUAGGUAAAAGUAAAAAAGUUGUUAAGAGGCGCGGUGUCGGCGUGCUUGUAUUUGCAGGAGAGAAUUAUCAGGGGGUGCUGGGUAGCCGGGAAGACUUGGACGGAUCUGGCCCGGGAAUGGGUCUGGGCCUGGAUUCUGGUGUGGUGUAGGGUAGGCGUAGAUAGAUGAGUGGUCUAGGGUAGAUACAGGGUAGCCAGACGUCUGGUAUAUAGUAUGGGGGUGUAGGGUAGGUCUGGACACCGUUUUCCACUUCGCCCUUCCCUUUAGUCGAGGGAGGACGAUCUUGGCUGGGACGGAGGUGUAGGGUAAGCUUAAUUUACGAUUAUAUGAUCUGUGUCACUCUAGGGUAGGUGAAAAUCCCAUAUAUAUCUGAUCACAUUUGGUGAAGAGGUGGUUUGGCUGGUGAGAUGGACAAAAGUGCAAUGUAGAAUUAUAUGUGAUUUUGCAAAAGUGGGUGUGAAAUUGGAAAGUCGGUUUUCCCGCACAGAUGAGAGCACGUUUGAGGUGCCAUGAGAUGCACCUCUCCGAGACGACCUCAACGGUGCCACCCAUGUGUUGGUCGGGCUCCUGUGCGGCCGUCCAGGGCGGGAUAAGUAGAGAAUGUGGUGGUGUAGGGUAGGUGACCAGGUCCAGGGUAGGUUCGCCAAAUCCGUCAAUCCGGCUUGAAUCGAAGGACAGGUCUAGGGUAGGCCAGAGUCGGGUCUAGGGUAGGCAACCCUCACCCUCGAAGUGGUCUACCCGGUAGCCAACUUCAAUCGCCUCUCACGGCCGCCACGGACCUCGAAUGACGACGGGACUACCACCAUCGGAUUCGCCUUGGUCGAAAUAGCUGGUAUAUGCACUUUUGGAAAAAUGCGUGCAAAAUGGUUUUGUGGUUUGGUGGCCGUGAGUCGAUU
RNAcentral lists this unclassified non-coding RNA (1628 nucleotides) under Fusarium oxysporum f. sp. cepae. RNAcentral describes it as "partial 28S-18S ribosomal RNA intergenic spacer". The record is from RNAcentral. Lineage: Eukaryota; Fungi; Ascomycota; Sordariomycetes; Hypocreales; Nectriaceae.